CCUAGUACGAGAGGACCGGAGUGGACGCAUCACUGGUGUUCGGGUUGUCAUGCCAAUGGCACUGCCCGGUAGCUAAAUGCGGAAGAGAUAAGUGCUGAAAGCAUCUAAGCACGAAACUUGCCCCGAGAUGAGUUCUCCCUGACCCUUUAAGGGUCCUGAAGGAACGUUGAAGACGACGACGUUGAUAGGCCGGGUGUGUAAGCGCAGCGAUGCGUUGAGCUAACCGGUACUAAUGAACCGUGAGGCUUAACCUU
This 254-nucleotide ribosomal RNA is filed under the name Escherichia coli. Its description in RNAcentral is "partial 23S ribosomal RNA". It matches the Rfam family "Bacterial large subunit ribosomal RNA", at positions 2677 to 2925 of the family's 2925-position model. The record is from RNAcentral. Lineage: Bacteria; Pseudomonadati; Pseudomonadota; Gammaproteobacteria; Enterobacterales; Enterobacteriaceae.